AUAGUGUUAAAUAAUUGAUAGGAUAGAUUUAGUAAUACUAAUUCAUAACAAAAACAUAACGUUCAUUUUCUGAGAUUUUCCGAUAUUUUAAUUUUUUUGCGAUAUUCAACUGAAAGGUUUACUAAAGAUAGGUUACUUGACGAAAAGACAAUCGUACUAACCGCGUGCAUUGUUACGAUUGUAACUUGUUAAAAAAAAUAACUUAUUGUAAUUGCAACUGUUUAAUAAUUAUAGUAUUUAUAAUAUUAAUAGUAUUUAUGACAGGAAAUAUAUCGUACGAAAAUAUGGACUCUUACGAGAAUCCUGAAUCUUUGCCAUUGGAAAAUUUAAAAUUAAAGGUUAAAACUAAUGGUGUUAUAGAAACUAUAGAUGCUUUG
This is a long non-coding RNA of Apis florea (little honeybee), 377 nucleotides long. NCBI's taxonomy places the organism in Eukaryota, Metazoa, Arthropoda, Insecta, Hymenoptera, Apidae. The record is from RefSeq and is a predicted model, not a curated record.